AGGACGGCACAGGUUUUUACCGUUUCCACUGUCCUGGGCUCGACCGAAGGAGAACGGUGGCAGGCCGGGCCACGUUUC
The submitters of this non-coding RNA (78 nucleotides) gave its source as unclassified sequences. The record is from Rfam.